AAGCCUAAUACUGGCAGUCGACGAGAGACCUUUCGGGUCCUCUAGUGGCGAACGGGUGAGUAACACGUAGGGAACCUGCCCGCGCACCGGGAAUACGCUCUGGAAACGGAGAACAAAUCCCGAUGUACAGGAAGGAGGCAUCUUCUUUCUGUGAAACAUCCUUUAGGGGAUGGGGCGCGGAUGGACCUGCGGUGCAUUAGUUGGUUGGCGGGGUAAAGGCCCACCAAGACGAUGAUGCAUAGCCGGCCUGAGAGGGCGGACGGCCACAUUGGGACUGAGACACGGCCCAGACUCCUGCGGGAGGCAGCAGUAGGGAAUUUUCGUCAAUGGGCGCAAGCCUGAACGAGCGAUGCCGCGUGAGUGAAGAAGGCCUUCGGGUCGUAAAGCUCUGUUGCGGGGAAAAAAGGGAGCAUCCGGAAAUGGGUGGUGACUGAUGGUGCCCCGCCAGAAAGUCACGGCUAACUACGUGCCAGCAGCCGCGGUAAUGCGUAAGUGGCGAGCGUUAUCCGGAAUGAUUGGGCGUAAAGGGUGGGCAAGCGGUCCUGGAAGUCUGGAAUGGAACGCAUGAACUCAACUCAUGGCUGGCUUUGGAAACUGGAGGAAUGGAGAACAAGAAAGGGCGGUGGAACUCCAUGUGUAACGGUAAAAUGCGUAAAUAUAUGGAAGAACACCAGUGGCGAAAGCGGGCGCCUGGCCUGUUGGUGAAGCUGAAGGACGAAAGCGUGGGGAGCCAAUAAGAUUAGAUACCCU
RNAcentral lists this ribosomal RNA (750 nucleotides) under uncultured bacterium. RNAcentral's name for it is "bacterial SSU rRNA". It matches the Rfam family "Bacterial small subunit ribosomal RNA", at positions 44 to 788 of the family's 1533-position model. The record is from RNAcentral.